Molecule: transfer RNA, 76 nt
Filed under: Spirochaetota bacterium
Lineage: Bacteria; Pseudomonadati; Spirochaetota
Description: Spirochaetes bacterium tRNA-Ala
Rfam family: tRNA
About the family: Transfer RNA (tRNA) molecules are approximately 80 nucleotides in length. Their secondary structure includes four short double-helical elements and three loops (D, anti-codon, and T loops). Further hydrogen bonds mediate the characteristic L-shaped molecular structure. tRNAs have two regions of fundamental functional importance: the anti-codon, which is responsible for specific mRNA codon recognition, and the 3' end, to which the tRNAs corresponding amino acid is attached (by aminoacyl-tRNA synthetases). tRNAs cope with the degeneracy of the genetic code in two manners: having more than one tRNA (with a specific anti-codon) for a particular amino acid; and 'wobble' base-pairing, i.e. permitting non-standard base-pairing at the 3rd anti-codon position.
Source: RNAcentral
GGGGAAUUAGCUCAUCGGGUAGAGCACCUGGUUUGCAACCAGGAGGUGAUCGGUUCGAGACCGAUAUUCUCCACAA